UGCAGUGAUUUUCCCAUUUAAUCAUCCUCAGGUCCUCUGGGUUCAAAGGCCGAUGCUCUAACUAGCGCGCCAACGAAUAACGUUAGCGUGCUCCCGUGCCCAGGAUAAGGGGGUCACCUUACUUCCGUGCUCUUCUGCGAAGGCCAGGAAACCGCCCUGCUUCGGCAUGUCUCCUGCGUGCGGUGUGUUACUGCUGCUGCUGCUGCUGCUGCUUCCUGUCGUGAGUCGGCUUUGCUGCGGUUUGCCCGCUUGCUUGCGUUUGUGUGAAAGCAGCACAAGUUCCCCGCCCUCGCCUUUCCUACACGAGUGCGUGUAGCAGAGUAGAGCCCUGAUUCGAGUGACAGCGCACCGCUGGACAGCUGCUCCAACAUGUCCUCCAGCCACCUCCCCCUCCGCAUCCUCGGUCUGCUACUGCUUGUUGGCACGGGGUUCGGCGAAAACGACACCGGUUCUUCCACAACGGUGCAAAGCAGUACCUCCAGAACAGUAGGCCUACAGACCAGCGUCUCCACAAUGGAAAUACACAGCAGUGCGAACAAUGUGUCCGGAUCCAGCAGCUCCACCCCCACCGAGGCCCUGGUCGAGACCACGGGCGCAGCGCACGAUAGCCUCAAAACAACGACGAUGUCGGUAGGGAGCCCUACGCCGGAGACCAGCACAGGAAAACGAACCACGAAGCUGUCGACCAGCGCAUCCUGGAGCAGCACGAGUCCGACGCCUCGCAUCAGCGAGACGACAGCAACAAGUGCAGCAGCACAUCGCUCUCAGCUUGACUACUCAGGAUACAUCAUUUUAUUCCUCCUGCUCAUCAGCAUCAUCCUUGUUGUCAUGUUCAUUUACUUUUUACGGAAAAAAACAAGGCAUUAUUCCUUUGACCUGUACCAGAAAGGUGCAGAAGACAUUGACAUUCCUCUAAGCUCUGUGGGGCAAAGAGGUGUAUUUGCAUCAACCCAAAAUGAUGAGAAGCCUGCGGAAGGCCUCACGUACGUGUCCGGUGUCCCCGAGGAGCCGAAGGCACCAUCGAGGGAGACCUUGUCGCAGACUGGAAGCGAGAAACUGGACAGCAACAACGAUGACCCUGAUAAAGUGGCCAGCGAGGACAGCUUUGGCUCCCAGGUGCCGCUGACCCCCAACGACAAGCCGCUUGAUUUCACCUUUGACCUGAUGGACGGCGAGCCGAACCACUCCAGCAAGACGUCCUCGGAAUCCCUGGAGGAGCAGCAGAACGAGAAUAACAACAACAUGAUGGGGAGCUACAGAGUUCUCUGCAGAGUAGAUCCCAACCCUGCAGGUCCGAGUGAGACCUUCACCGAGAUCAGUCUAGACGAGCCUGUGUAGGAGAACAUCACUACUGCAGCUGAUUCUGGAAAUUUUACACUGCCUCCAAAGCUUCCACCACCUCCAGGGUUUAUCAAAGCUAUUCAAUCGCUGUUUUACUCGUGGCUUGAUUUUGUUCAUAAUUCAAUCCUAUGAAGUUUAACUUGGUUUGAAAACGACUUUGUUUUAAGCUACUUAUUUUGUCAAAAUGAAACUGCUAUAUUUAGAAGUGUAUAAAGUGGACCUCAUCAUGAAUCCGACAGACCGCAUGCGUCUUCAUGGAAACAUUUUGUUUACAAGUGUUACUUUUUAAAAUUAGUCUUAUGUUGUCAGCUGAUCAUCAACAUGUUUAUAAAAAAAAAAAUGUGCUAAAAAUGUUGAUGGACAAUGUUAGUUAAAAUGCUUCACUUUUGUUGCUUUACUGCCUAGAUAUUAAAUUUGGUUUGAGGAGUAACGUAGAAUUCGUUGUGUGAAAAUACAUUCCCUUACCCUAUCUCUUUUUAAAUCUAACAAAUACAUGUCCGAAUUCCUGCUCUGGAUGCAGUGGGUCUACGAGCAAUUUAAAGAAUUUGAACCCUGGACAAGCACCAUUUUACCCUCCCUGGUUCCUCUGUCCUGGACAAGGGUCACAUUACUUCUCCAAAACAUGGGUUCUGGGAAUACACUGGUGAUGAUCAGAAAAGGAAGAUCACCACUCUGAACUAUGGAGAAUUUAU
This 2033-nucleotide long non-coding RNA is filed under the name Scleropages formosus (Asian bonytongue). RNAcentral describes it as "lncRNA (ENSSFOG00015030422.1)". The record is from RNAcentral. Lineage: Eukaryota; Metazoa; Chordata; Actinopteri; Osteoglossiformes; Osteoglossidae.